UCAAUGGCUCUCUGAUCCCAGUGAAAUCCAGCUGGCUGAAGAGCUCCGAGUCUCAUCCGUGGAAACAUGUCAGACUCGCUGGUGUGUGUCAGUGAUUAUGAGCGUCAGGCUCAGAGACUUCUACCAAAGUCAGUGUUUGAUUAUUAUUUCUCAGGAGCAGACGAGCAGCAAACUCUGCAUGAUAAUGUAGCAGCGUUCGCCAGGUGGUGCAUUUACCCUCGUGUGCUGAGGGACGUGUCCUCAGUGGACAUGUCCACCACAGUUCUGGGCCAGAGAGUCAGUAUGCCCAUCUGUGUGGCAGCUACUGCUAUGCAGAGAAUGGCGCAUCCCGACGGCGAGACGGCCACUGCGAGAGCCUGCCUGUCCUGUGACACGGGGAUGAUGCUGAGCUCAUGGGCCACCUCCACCAUAGAGGAAGUAGCGGAGGCCGCACCUGGGGCCGUGCACUGGAUGCAGCUGUACAUUUAUAAAGACCGAGCGCUGACUCAGUCUCUGGUCAGGAGGGCCGAGGAGGCCGGGUAUAAGGGUAUCUUUGUCACAGUGGACACACCUUAUCUUGGCAGGCGACGUGAUGACGUGCGCAACCGAUUUAAGCUGCCCUCUCAUUUGAGGAUGGCCAAUUUCGAGACCCCUGAUUUAGCCUUCUCCUCAAAAGAGGGUUACGGGGAGGACAGCGGCCUGGCGGUGUAUGUAACUCAGGCCAUAGAUGCCACGGUGAAGUGGGACGACAUCGCCUGGCUGAAGAGAAUGACCUCGCUGCCUGUGGUGGUCAAAGGAGUUUUGACAGCUGAAGAUGCCAAAGAAGCGCUGAAGUAUGGGGUGGAUGGAAUACUUGUGUCAAACCACGGAGCAAGACAGCUUGAUGGAGUUCCAGCCACCAUUGACGCUCUGCCUGAGGUUGUGGAGGCUGUAGAAGGAAAGGUGGAUGUCUUCAUGGACGGAGGUGUUCGUAAGGGCACAGAUGUGCUGAAGGCUCUGGCUCUGGGAGCAAAGGCAGUGUUUGUAGGGAGACCCGUCCUGUGGGCGCUCGCCUGUGAGGGUGACAAAGGAGUCAGCAAUGUUCUCCAAAUACUGCGCGAGGAACUUCACCUUGCAUUGGCGCUGACAGGCUGUUGCUCACUGAAGGAAGUCAACAGAUCCCUUCUGAGAAGAUCUGAACUCAUUUCAAGGAUCUAAUGAGCAGAACUGUUGCAUGCUGGGAGAUUUCAUGUGUGCCAGUGACUGGACCGACUUGUGUAAUUCAAAUGAACCCAGAGGAUUUGGGCACGACAGAUUUAGCAUCAUGAAUAAAACAUUUGUUACUGUGAACGAGUUCCUCAUGAAUAUGCAUUCUCCCUCCACGGGGCCCGAAAGGCAAACAGGUUUGUGAGAGGUUCAGAAAGGUCACACACAAGGCAUGGGAUUUCUUUACUAGCUCUUUCCAUGGCUGAACCACAGGACCUGAAUGAAGCCAUUAUAUGCAUUGACUCUCCACAGGAAAACAAACUUUGUCAGGGUCUGUUCAUUAGGACUUAACACUUUGUUUGAGCCGCCUACUUGUGUGCAGGGGCCAGAAAGGGGAAGUGAGCUCCUGCUGAAAUCAAACAAAACCUACCCUUUAUGAGAAGUUUUGCAUUGUUUGCGUGCAACCUAGAUACUUAGAUGAUAAAAGUACAGUGGCUCCAAAUAGUUUUGCAUCAGAUAAAUAAUUUAUAAUCAAUUGUAUAUGCAUGCAAAUGAUGCAAUCUCUUGCUUUGCUGCUUUUUUAUCCAAUGCAAUGAUAUUUAUACAUUUUUAAGUGUAAAUCAUACAAAUGAUGCCAUUUUUGCAUCUUGCUUUGAUGCCCAACUCAAUCCGAGCAGCUGAGUCCUUAGCCAUCUUCAAGAAACGGCUAAAAACCAUAGCACUCUCUGUUCUACAGUAAUUCUAUUUUAUCUAUCUGUCUUUUUUGUUAAAAACACACACACACUUGACCCUCUAUCAAUUGCAUAUUUAUUCUCUAACUGCUAGCUUUUCUUGAAAAACUAACACUAGCUUCUUUUUUCUAUUCUAUCUACUUAUUUCUUUUCCACUUGCAUGUAGUUGCUCUUUUGUUGGUUUUGAUUGUCCGUUGUCCUCAUUUGUAAGUAGCUUUGGAUAAAAGCGUCUGCUAAAUGACUAAAUGUAAAUGCAAUGAUAUUUAAACAUUUUCAAAUGUGGCUUAAGCAUCCAAAUACAUUUUCAUUAAUUCAUGCUGAAAUCUG
RNA transcript from Onychostoma macrolepis, 2222 nucleotides. It is a transcript of the gene named hydroxyacid oxidase (glycolate oxidase) 1, with no coding region annotated. The record is from RefSeq and is a predicted model, not a curated record. NCBI's taxonomy places the organism in Eukaryota, Metazoa, Chordata, Actinopteri, Cypriniformes, Cyprinidae. The transcript has 9 exons.